UACGGAGUGGGCUAGCGUUGUUCGGAAUUACUGGGCGUAAAGCGCGCGUAGGCGGACCUGCAAGUCGGGGGUGAAAGCCCGAGGCUCAACCUCGGAACUGCCUUCGAUACUGCGGGUCUCGAGUCCGGGAGAGGUGAGUGGAAUUCCUAGUGUAGAGGUGAAAUUCGUAGAUAUUAGGAAGAACACCAGUGGCGAAGGCGGCUCACUGGCCCGGUACUGACGCUGAGGCGCGAAAGCGUGGGGAGCAAACAGG
This 253-nucleotide ribosomal RNA is filed under the name uncultured bacterium. RNAcentral's name for it is "partial 16S ribosomal RNA". It matches the Rfam family "Bacterial small subunit ribosomal RNA", at positions 524 to 776 of the family's 1533-position model. The record is from RNAcentral.